Molecule: ribosomal RNA, 619 nt
Filed under: uncultured bacterium
Lineage: Bacteria
Description: bacterial SSU rRNA
Rfam family: Bacterial small subunit ribosomal RNA
Source: RNAcentral
ACGGAUCACGCCGCGUGAACGAUGAAGGUCUUCGGAUCGUAAAGUUCUGUUGUCAGGGAAGAACAAGGCCGUGCGAAUAGAGCGGCACCUUGACGGUACCUGACGAGGAAGCCCCGGCUAACUACGUGCCAGCAGCCGCGGUAAUACGUAGGGGGCAAGCGUUGUCCGGAAUUAUUGGGCGUAAAGCGCGCGCAGGCGGUUCCUUAAGUCUGAUGUGAAAGCCCACGGCUCAACCGUGGAGGGUCAUUGGAAACUGGGGAACUUGAGUGCAGAAGAGGAGAGUGGAAUUCCACGUGUAGCGGUGAAAUGCGUAGAUAUGUGGAGGAACACCAGUGGCGAAGGCGACUCUCUGGUCUGUAACUGACGCUGAGGCGCGAAAGCGUGGGGAGCAAACAGGAUUAGAUACCCUGGUAGUCCACGCCGUAAACGAUGAGUGCUAGGUGUUAGGGGGCUUCCACCCCUUAGUGCUGAAGUUAACGCAUUAAGCACUCCGCCUGGGGAGUACGGCCGCAAGGCUGAAACUCAAAGGAAUUGACGGGGGCCCGCACAAGCGGUGGAGCAUGUGGUUUAUUCGAAGCAACGCGAAGAACCUUACCAGGUCUUGACAUCUUCGGAGCAA